RNAcentral lists this ribosomal RNA (527 nucleotides) under Penicillium sp. SWD-28. RNAcentral describes it as "eukaryotic LSU rRNA". The stretch from base 159 to 311 matches the Rfam family "5.8S ribosomal RNA". The record is from RNAcentral. Lineage: Eukaryota; Fungi; Ascomycota; Eurotiomycetes; Eurotiales; Aspergillaceae.
UGGGUCACCUCCCACCCGUGUUUAUUUUACCUUGUUGCUUCGGCGGGCCCGCCUUUACUGGCCGCCGGGGGGCUCACGCCCCCGGGCCCGCGCCCGCCGAAGACACCCCCGAACUCUGUCUGAAGAUUGAAGUCUGAGUGAAAAUAUAAAUUAUUUAAAACUUUCAACAACGGAUCUCUUGGUUCCGGCAUCGAUGAAGAACGCAGCGAAAUGCGAUACGUAAUGUGAAUUGCAAAUUCAGUGAAUCAUCGAGUCUUUGAACGCACAUUGCGCCCCCUGGUAUUCCGGGGGGCAUGCCUGUCCGAGCGUCAUUGCUGCCCUCAAGCCCGGCUUGUGUGUUGGGCCCCGUCCUCCGAUUCCGGGGGACGGGCCCGAAAGGCAGCGGCGGCACCGCGUCCGGUCCUCGAGCGUAUGGGGCUUUGUCACCCGCUCUGUAGGCCCGGCCGGCGCUUGCCGAUCAACCCAAAUUUUUAUCCAGGUUGACCUCGGAUCAGGUAGGGAUACCCGCUGAACUUAAGCAUAUCAAU